RNAcentral lists this ribosomal RNA (253 nucleotides) under uncultured bacterium. Its description in RNAcentral is "partial 16S ribosomal RNA". It matches the Rfam family "Bacterial small subunit ribosomal RNA", at positions 524 to 776 of the family's 1533-position model. The record is from RNAcentral.
UACAGAGGGUGCGAGCGUUAAUCGGAAUUACUGGGCGUAAAGCGCACGUAGGUGGCGACGUAAGUCGGGUGUGAAAGCCCCGGGCUCAACCUGGGAAUUGCAUUCGAGACUGCAUUGCUGGAGUACGGAAGAGGAGGGCGGAAUUCCCGGUGUAGCGGUGAAAUGCGUAGAUAUCGGGAGGAACAUCAGUGGCGAAGGCGGCCCUCUGGUCCAGUACUGACACUCAAGUGCGAAAGCGUGGGGAGCAAAAGGG